This 2813-nucleotide ribosomal RNA is filed under the name Candidatus Peregrinibacteria bacterium. RNAcentral's name for it is "partial 23S ribosomal RNA". It matches the Rfam family "Bacterial large subunit ribosomal RNA", at positions 1348 to 2919 of the family's 2925-position model. Lineage: Bacteria; Candidatus Peregrinibacteriota. The record is from RNAcentral.
AGGUUUCCCACGCAACGGUCAUCGGCGUGGGGUUAGUCGGUCCUAAGGCCAGGCCGAAAGGCGUAACCGAUGGACAACAGGUUAAUAUUCCUGUACAACCUAAUUUUCGUCCAAGCAAGACUGGAGAGAGGUGGAAGACGACUUUUGAAGGCUUCGGCUGGAGAAAGAAGACUUUUUCUGAUCGAAAGUGGCGCUAACUCAGUGGUAACGCGGAAGGAUAUCCAGAGCGUGUUAAUGAAUUCACGUGCAAGCUGUUAGUUUAUGCUUCUUGAGGUAAAUCCCUUGAGGUUCGCGAGCAGCGAUGCAAAAUACCUUCUCUUUGAGAGGGUGAUUCUGGAGAGUUCAUCUGACGAGAAAAACCACGGUAGUGAGAAAGUUAGGUUACCGUACCGCAAACCAACGCUGGUGGGUUCCCUGAGAAUGGGAAGGUGAUCGAGUAACCUGCUGCUAAGGAACUCGGCAAAAUAACGGGUGUAACUUCGGGAUAAACCCUGCCCCCCUUAACUGGGAGGGCCGCAGUAAAAGAUUCCAUGCAACUGUUUAUCAAAAACACAGGUCUCUGCUAAGUCGCAAGACUAAGUAUAGGGGCUGACGCCUGCCCAGUGCCAGAAGGUCACGAGGAGAGGUUAACGCCUUGAAUCUAAGCCCUGGUGAACGGCGGCGAUAACUAUGAUGUGACGAUUGUAGUUGUAAAAUUUGGCUAUAUGCUGGAAUAUCCUGUAAAAUAUCAAAGUACUAGGCCUAUUGAUGGGUCAGUGAAAAUCUUUGGUUGGAUCCUAGUAAGUAGGACGCAGGACAAUCAGCAGGAAAGAAUCUUGUAAGAUAUAGAAUAUGAAUAAUGAUCAAUGGUUAUCAUCUGUAAACCCGGAAAUUGGAUAUUAUUUUACUGGAUUUGCAGAUGGAGAAGGUAGUUUCAAUGUUUCUCUUAGAAAAAGAAUAGAUCAUAACAAGAUAAUCCUCAGAGACUAUACGCCAAACCGCGUGUAUUUAGAGAAGAAUCUACGCGGAUGAUAUAGUCCGAUCUCUAUGGAGACAUAGAGCUUCGAUUUUUAUCGAAGCGCCCCGAUUGGGGUGAACAUUAAUGAAUCGUCCUAAGGUAGCGAAAUUCCUUGUCGGGUAAGUUCCGACCCGCACGAAUGGCGUAAUGAUAUGGAAACUGUCUCGGCAGCAGACUCGGUGAAAUUACAGAACUGGUAAAAAUGCCAGUUAACUAUGGAAAGACGAAAAGACCCCGUGAAGCUUUACUACAGCUUGACAUUGGUUUUGAGCAUGACUUGUGCAGGAUAGAUGGGAGACUUUGAAGCUUCGACGUCAGUCGGAGUGGAGUCACCGUUGAGAUACCAUCCUUGUUAUGCUUAGGAUCUAACUGGAGCCGUUAAUCCGGCUUUAGGACAGUGUUUGGUAGGUAGUUUGACUGGGGCGGUCGCCUCCUAAAGAGUAACGGAGGCGCGCAAUGGUUCCCUAACCCUGGAUGGAAAUCAGGGUGAUAGUGUAAUCGCGCAAGGGAGCUUAACUGCAAGACAUACAAGUCGAGCAGAUGCGAAAGCAGGUGAUAGUGAUCCGAUAGUUGCAUGUGGGUGCGCUAUCGCUCAACGGAUAAAAGCUACUCCGGGGAUAACAGGCUUAUCGGUCCCAAGAGUUCAUAUCGACGGACCGGUUUGGCACCUCGAUGUCGGCUCAUCGCAUCCUGGAGCUGGAGAAGGUUCCAAGGUGGAGAAGGUUCCAAGGGUUUGGCUGUUCGCCAAUUAAAGCGGUACGCGAGCUGGGUUCAGACCGUCGUGAGACAGGUCGGUCUCUAUCUUCCAUGGUCGUAGGAUUUUUGAGGGAUGCUGUUCCUAGUAAAAGUUGCUACAUUCUGCAGAAAUGCAGAAACGAAAAACUUGCCCAAAUCGGUGAAAUCCUUUACUGUAAAAAAAGGCCGCGGUCCUGGGGCCGUAAAGGACAAUACCGAGGGAAGAUCAAUAAUAUGAUUGAUACUGAAAAAGCUUAUAUUGCAGGAUUUCUUGAUGGAGAUGGUAGUAUCAUGCUUCAGCUAAAACCUAGAGCUGAUAUGAAAUUUCUGUUUAGAGUUAAAACUGUUAUUGUUUUAUAUCAAGAUUCUGCACAUGUAGGUGUUUUAAGAAAAUUGAAAACGAUUAUUGGUGCUGGAUACGUAUACGAAAGGAAUGAUCGCAUGAGUGAGUUGCGUGUUGAAGGUUUUCAACAAGUGCAACAUUUUCUAUCUAAAAUUAAGCCUUAUGUAAGGUUUAAAGUAAGACAGGUUGAAUGCAUGUUAAGUGCUUUGGCUGUCUUGCGGCGCAAAUAUACUAUUGAAGAAUUUUUAUAUCUUUGCGAAUUAUCAGAUAGAAUAUCCGAAUGUAAUUAUUCCAGUAAACGUAGAAAGUACACAAAACAAACUGUAAUUGAAAUUCUUAAAAAAAAUCGUAUUUUGGUCCCCGUAACGACUGGAUCUUCUCCAAAUGGAGGAGUGAAGAUGGCUAAAUUAAAAUCUAGCCAUAAUACGGUAAGCAUCUAACUCUCUGCUGAAUAAGUGGAGAUAUGAUGAAGGUAUAGUCUACACCUUUGGUAACAAAGGAUUAUGUGACGAGAGGACCGGAAUGGACAAACCUCUGGUGUAUCUGUUGUCGCGUCAGCGGCAUUGCAGAGUAGCCAUGUUUGGAGAGAUAACCGCUGAAAGCAUCUAAGUGGGAAGCUCUUCCCAAGAUUAAAGAUCCCAAUUAGCCUCCCUGAAGACUACAGGGUUGAUAGGCCACAGAUGUAAGCACAGUGAUGUGUUGAGUCGAGUGGUACUAACAGGCGAUUGACUUAUUUCA